GUUGUGUCCUGCCUUGGCUCUG
RNAcentral lists this microRNA (22 nucleotides) under Columba livia (rock pigeon). RNAcentral's name for it is "cli-miR-9624-5p". Lineage: Eukaryota; Metazoa; Chordata; Aves; Columbiformes; Columbidae. The record is from miRBase by way of RNAcentral.